AGGCCCUGGUCGGUGCGAUCGGCCUGUUCGUGGCGGGCAACAGCAUCGGGGGCAUGAGCGGCCGGAUCGUCUCCGGCUGGGUCGC
Molecule: transfer RNA, 85 nt
Filed under: Streptomyces xantholiticus
Lineage: Bacteria; Bacillati; Actinomycetota; Actinomycetes; Kitasatosporales; Streptomycetaceae
Description: tRNA-Thr
Source: RNAcentral